Schistocerca americana (American grasshopper) is the source of this 296-nucleotide long non-coding RNA. RefSeq lists it as uncharacterized. The transcript is spliced from 3 exons. NCBI's taxonomy places the organism in Eukaryota, Metazoa, Arthropoda, Insecta, Orthoptera, Acrididae. The record is from RefSeq and is a predicted model, not a curated record.
GCGAUCUACCGGAGAAAGUGUUCAGCGCGACACAGCUCCCACUGUUGGUUCCGACGUCGGGCACGGCGUUUGGUACGCGAGGCACACACAGCUCGAGGAGUCGGCAUUCUGACGUGCGCUCUGUCGGCAUAUUCCACCGAAUUAUCAAACGACAUAACAUCAUAAACAAAGCAGAACGUACAGAACUGAGAGUUGGAACGGCUUGUUCCUGAUUUUUUUCCGCCGCUUCAGUGAGCAGCGGACAUGGCUUGCGCUGCCAUCUGCCGAGUGGUGGCGGUACUGGUCCUUACUGAUGC